Non-coding RNA from Punica granatum (pomegranate), 1812 nucleotides. The record is from RefSeq and is a predicted model, not a curated record. Lineage: Eukaryota; Viridiplantae; Streptophyta; Magnoliopsida; Myrtales; Lythraceae.
CUCCCUUGUCGUUCGCGCCUUCACGGCUCUCUAGAGGCUAUGUUCCAGUUCCUACAGAAAAACACACUCCGGAUCUUUUCAGAUUCAAGCCCCUCGAUUAUUCAUAUCGGUCUGCUCAUUUCUUCUAUCACCAUCGUUUGCAGGCCCGCUGCCUACUCGCGAGCACAUGACAGUUGUUUUCUGUGACAUCGACUGCUCUGUUUCUCCCGCCGUCCCCUCUGGCUUGAUCCUCCAACCACCACCAACCGCUUUAUCCCCCAGUCAAUGCCCUUUCAUCCAACAUCCACUCCGCGCUUGCCCAUGGCAGUUAAUGCCUACGUCCAUCCAUUAGGCCCUCUCUCCUCCGAACAUUUGCACUUCCCCUGUAUGCUCGUGCCUUUUUCGCAUCGCAUCCAUCCACCAGAUUGCUUGCAAUAUUUCACAGGGAAUGGUAUAUCAGUUCUUUUGCUGUUCUCUUCUUUGUUCUCCUUUUUCUUUUUCUUUUCGUCCCCAUUCUAUGCCUAAAAAGUGCUCUGCAAAUUGUCCCUGACAGUUUCUUUCCUACCGCCAAGCUCGCAGAACAUAGUACCUGGCAGCCUCUUGUUUAACGUAGGCGCUGUUUUACGCUCCAACUUACCUAUUGCUUCAAGUUAGAUAUUCAGUCUGUUUUAUUUUCAUCGUUUUUGCCUUUCUGCUUAAUGAUAUAUAUUUAGAUGAAAUUCUGAGAUCAACUGUGAUGUUGAUAAUUGGGGUUCAUUUUAAGAGAGGGAAAGUGCUUACCAUUGUGGUUGUGAAGGUAAAAGCUUGUUUAACUUUUGUAUGAAAGAGCAAGUGAAAUUAAUAUCACCUACUGGAUUGCUAAAGGAAUGCCAGGAGAUCAUAACUACGAAAUUUCCUUGGGGAACAAUUGAAUGUGGUUACUUUGUAAGUUCUUUUGAAACAUAUUCUCUAUCCCAUUUUCUUAGUUGUGUAAAGUUGAGAUUUUAUGACCUAUUUACUGACCUCAGACAUUUGAUCUUGCCUUGGGGAUUUCGAUCAUCCGAGAGUGUCAUAUUUGAACUAAGAGCAUCAUCAUGGAGUUCUUCUUCGAGGGAACGUUGGAGAUAGCUAGAAAACUCUCUUGCGGAGCAGAAUUUCUUAUGAUGAUCAAACCUGUGCUUUGCGCUUCACUCUCAGUUGCUCAUCAGUGAGCUUCUUUACCGCUGACAGACCUUCAGGGGGCUACUUGGGCAAGGUUAUUGAGAAUUACAUUUAUUCAGCAUCUCUUGUUGAUAUGCCAAUCUUAAUGUGCUCUAGAGCUUUAGCAGCGGUUCUACCAUGAGAAGUUGGAAAGCAUUAGAGGGUAAUUUGGUGCAACGGAAAUUAAGUUCGAAAUGUUGAAGCCCUUGUUUCUGCCGUGAAGUUGAAGCCCUUGUUGAUAACUUUUGCAGUGGAAGGGAAAGCUAAUGUUAAUAACUUAUUAUGUUUUAAAAUAGGUGGUCUUUGAUAGCGAGCUUAACUGUUUCUCAUUAUUGUUGCUAAAGAUGCUGUGUUAUAUAUAUAUAUAUAUAUAUAUAUAUUCAAGCAUUUGGCUCGUGGGGAUCUAAGGAUAAGGAGCUUAAUUAUCAGAUUUUCCCACUUAAAGGACAGAUUCGUAGUUGAUAGGAUAGAUGAGACUUUUCCCACUUGAUACAGUUUUCACAAGCGAUGGAAAUAGUGAACAGUUGUUGGUGGCUAGGCUACAAUAUCAAGCUUUCUUCAGUUUUGGCAAUAUGCCAUUUUAGGUUCCUACCACAUGUUUGAUGCAAGUCCUAAUGAACUUUGGGCUUCUGUUUUUUUUAUUUGCUGUCGUGA